Gallus gallus (chicken) is the source of this 875-nucleotide long non-coding RNA. The record is from Ensembl. NCBI's taxonomy places the organism in Eukaryota, Metazoa, Chordata, Aves, Galliformes, Phasianidae.
AGUGGAGGGAAGUGUAUCUUGCUGGAGAUCCCUGCAUAGCUGAGGCCUUCUGAAGGAUGACGAAGGCAAAGAAGAGGAACUCUGCUUUUCUUCAGGAGCCUUGCAAUUGAAACACACCUCUGGGAGAGAGGAGACCUGGCUUCAAAGCCUUUCAUUGCCCAGUAUUUACCACAUUAUAAGAAGGUGACAGCUCCUAUUUGCCUUCUGGGAAUAAGCUUUACAGUCUGCACCAACCGGGAGGAAGAAAACCUAAAAAUCCACUACUGCCUGAAGUUGAUCAAAGUCCAGAAUUGGUACCAUCAAUUCCCUGGCUAUUUAACAGUGGAAUGCAGCUUUAAAAACUUUGACUGUACACUCACUGGAGGGGAAAAUGGAAUUUGCUACAAAAGGGACUGUGCACUUUUUGAAUACUUUUCUGAGAAAUGUACUCUCUGGGAGGAAUGCAAACAUUUGGGGAAAAUGGGUUUAUGGAUUUGCAUGGCUGAAGACAUAUUCCAUUAUCCAGGUGUAUCUUAUUGCGUUGUGUUGAACAAGAGCUACUGUGCAGGUUAAAAAAAUGUUUCAUAUUGGAGGUCAAACUAGUCUCCAACUGUUAAGUUGUGUUUUCACUAACACUCCAUUGUCCCCUCUUCCUAUCUGAGUAUUUUGAGUUUUAGCUAUGAUGUAUUUUUCCAAAAGUACAGAUGGAAUUUAUUAUGAUUUGGACUAUUAUAGCAUUAUGAAAGUAUGACCUGUUUUUAAGUUUUCUGUUUCAAGAUUAUCCUACUUUUUUAACUCUUUGCACAGUGAAUUCUGUAUAUCUGAUGACUAUAAAGUUAAAGCUAACAUCUCAAAAGAAAUUGCAAAUUGUUAAUAAAUAAUGAUGUAGUAAAAGU